Molecule: ribosomal RNA, 253 nt
Filed under: uncultured bacterium
Lineage: Bacteria
Description: partial 16S ribosomal RNA
Rfam family: Bacterial small subunit ribosomal RNA
Source: RNAcentral
UACGUAGGGUGCAAGCGUUGUCCGGAGUUAUUGGGCGUAAAGAGCUCGUAGGCGGUCUGUCACGUCGGCUGUGAAAUCCCGAGGCUCAACCUCGGGUCUGCAGUCGAUACGGGCAAACUAGAGUAUUGCAGGGGAGACUGGAAUUCCUGGUGUAGCGGUGAAAUGCGCAGAUAUCAGGAGGAACACCGGUGGCGAAGGCGGCGACCUGGGCCAAUACUGACGCUGAGGUGCGAAAGCGUGGGGAGCAAACAGG